Molecule: ribosomal RNA, 637 nt
Filed under: Streptomyces griseoflavus
Lineage: Bacteria; Bacillati; Actinomycetota; Actinomycetes; Kitasatosporales; Streptomycetaceae
Description: bacterial SSU rRNA
Rfam family: Bacterial small subunit ribosomal RNA
Source: RNAcentral
GCGGCAGUGGGGAAUAUUGCCCAAUGGGUGAAAGCCUGAUGCAGCGACGCCGCGUGAGGGAUGACGGCCUUCGGGUUGUAAACCUCUUUCAUCAGGGAAGAAGCGAAAGUGACGGUACCUGCAGAAGAAGCGCCGGCUAACUACGUGCCAGCAGCCGCGGUAAUACGUAGGGCGCGAGCGUUGUCCGGAAUUAUUGGGCGUAAAGAGCUCGUAGGCGGCUUGUCGCGUCGGUUGUGAAAGCCCGGGGCUUAACCCCGGGUCUGCAGUCGAUACGGGCAGGCUAGAGUUCGGUAGGGGAGAUCGGAAUUCCUGGUGUAGCGGUGAAAUGCGCAGAUAUCAGGAGGAACACCGGUGGCGAAGGCGGAUCUCUGGGCCGAUACUGACGCUGAGGAGCGAAAGCGUGGGGAGCGAACAGGAUUAGAUACCCUGGUAGUCCACGCCGUAAACGGUGGGCACUAGGUGUGGGCGACAUUCCACGUCGUCCGUGCGGCAGCUAACGCAUUAAGUGCCCCGCCUGGGGAGUACGGCCGCAAGGCUAAAACUCAAAGGAAUUGACGGGGGGCCCGCACAAGCGGCGGAUCAUGUGGCUUAAUUCGACGCACCGCGAAAAACCUUACCAAGGCUUGACAUACACCGG